This 875-nucleotide ribosomal RNA is filed under the name Stegastes variabilis (cocoa damselfish). RNAcentral's name for it is "partial 16S ribosomal RNA". The stretch from base 193 to 711 matches the Rfam family "Bacterial large subunit ribosomal RNA", at positions 573 to 1301 of the family's 2925-position model. The record is from RNAcentral. Lineage: Eukaryota; Metazoa; Chordata; Actinopteri; Pomacentridae.
CGCCUAACAGCUAGCUCACCCUAAUAAAACCAACACAACCAUAUUAAUAACCCCUCAUACACUACACCUUAAAAAUAAACCAUUCUCCCCUCCAAGUACGGGCGACGGAAAAGAAAACAGAAGCGAUAGAGAAAGUACCGCAAGGGAAAGCUGAAAGAGAAAUGAAACAACCCAAUAAAGCCUAAAAAAGCAGAGAUAUGACCUCGUACCUUUUGCAUCAUGAUUUAGCCAGAACCUCUUAAGCAAAAAGAAUUUUAGUUUAAUACCCCGAAACUAGGUGAGCUACUCCAAGACAGCCUAAUCAUAGGGCACACCCGUCUCUGUGGCAAAAGAGUGGGAAGAGCUUCGAGUAGGGGUGACAGACCUACCGAACCUAGUCAUAGCUGGUUGCCUGGAAAAUGAAUAGAAGUUCAGCCUCUCAAAUUCUUCCCUCAAAAAUCGCAUUACAUAAUUCAACUCUGAGACCAAAAGAAGUUAAGGGAGUUAGUCAAAGGGGGUACAGCCCCUUUGAAACAAGACACAACUUUCUCAGCAGGAUAAAGAUCAUAAUCCCCAUAAAGGUAGAAUGUCCCAGUGGGCCUAAAAGCAGCCACCACAAUAGAAAGCGUCAAAGCUCAAACACAACCUAUCUCCCAAAAAUACUGAUAAUACAUCUUAAACCCCUAAGCCUACCAGGCUGUCCCAUGCCCCCAUGGGAGCAAUAAUGCUAAUAUGAGUAAUAAGAGAACACCUGAUUCUCUCCCUGCAUACGUGUAAAUCGGAUCGGACGCCCCCACCGAGUAUUAACGGCCCCAAACGAAGAGGGCACUGUGUCGAAAAUAAGAGACAAGAAAACCACCCAUAGCACCACCGUUAACCCUACACAGGUAUGCCCC